RNAcentral lists this long non-coding RNA (1674 nucleotides) under Elaeis guineensis (African oil palm). Its description in RNAcentral is "long non-coding RNA (EGUI_LNC074754)". Lineage: Eukaryota; Viridiplantae; Streptophyta; Magnoliopsida; Arecales; Arecaceae. The record is from RNAcentral.
GUCCAUUCGAUGGAUUACUUUUAUGAUGUGUAGAGAUGUCAUUGUGAUCCGAUUUCAUGAAGAAGAAAAGCAAACAGAUUCUUAUAAAUUGUUUUGAUCAUAAAUAUGUUUAGAUUAGAUCUAAAGCGAUUUAUGAUUCAUUACAAUAAGAUAAAUUCAGAUAUAAAAUUAUUUUAAAAUCUAAAAAAUAUGUUAUACUAGAUAUAAUCGAUAUUAAUCUAAAAGUUGUCAUGAUGCAUAUGAUGUAUGUAUAAAGUUUAGAUCAUACCUAUGCAUGUUUAAUUGUUAAACAUAUUAUAAAAAUUUGUUUUCAUAACUUGAAACAUAUAGUAUGCUUCACUUGAAACUCUGGUAGAAUAGUUCUACAAACUGAAGCACACAUUUUACACACUUAAUUUUAAAUUAAGUUUAAAUGAUCUAGAUUUAAAAAUUAAAGAUCAUUAAGACACUACAUAAAUCGAUGGGCUAUGGGUUAGUAUGAAUCAGGUCCUUUUAUUGAGUUAGAUCUAGGAUUAGAAACAUAUAUGGACUAAGUAGAAAAAUUGAUUAAAUCUAAUCAAGAGUUGAAUUAGAUUAGGUCAGAAUUUCUCUAGAUCAAUCUCAAUAGUUGAAGUUUGAUUAAGUCCAUAUUUUUGACCUUAAUAAAUGGACCAUGAUUAUGGCUCCGUAGUUGAGCCUGAAUCUUCUGGUCAAUCAAAUCAAAAUUAAUUAACCAAUUGGUGUCUAAGGUAAGUCCGACAGAUUCGAUUAAGUAAUUAUUAAUUGGGAGCUACUCACCUAGUUAGCAUCUACGGUGCGUUAAUGGCAUAUCCCUCCCACUGAUCUUACUUACUUGGCUAAUAUGGUAGAUUAUAUUUUGAUUAGAUCACUAGUUGAUUCAAGCUGACCCAUGCCAUCAAGAUAAAUCAGUAUGACUGACUUAGGUGUCUUUAGACCAACUUGUGUCUAAUCCUCUACAUGACUUGUUGAAGUCAGUGAGAGGAUUUACAACUUGCAGAUCAACUUCUUCUCUUAUUCUCAAGUCAAUAAAAUCAAAUCCUCUAAAUUAUUAGGUCCAUAAAAUGAUACAGUUAUGGUGAUAACUUGUUCAUAGCCUCCCAUUAAGAUGCAUGAUAAUUAGUCUAAUAUUUCAAUAGGCAUUGGAGACGCCACACGUCUGGUGUCUAUUACGUAUUGGAAUUAUCAUCCAUCAUAUGAUUAUCUUAUUGUACCUUCAGAUCAAUGCUUAGGUUGAUCGAGCCAUACUCGGGCCUGGAUAUCCAUUUGUUAAAUGCACUUGAUGUUGUCAUGUUAAUGGUUGGACCUAACCAGAAUUUUCAGUGGAGACACCACAUGCCUGCUGAAGGGAUGCCUAAGGCAAAACCUAAAUGCUAGAAGUUGUUUGGAGAAAUAAUUGGUUAUGAACCUACCGAUGGAUGCACUAGGAUUGGCCGAGUCACACUCGGACUCAAAUACAGUCUAUGGAUUCUAGAACCAGCUAAAGAAUUAAUAUAAUUCCUCGAGUUGGAGGUAGAGACUACCAAUUUGUACAAAAUAAUGAGAGAACCUUUAGAUUAAAGUCCAUAUCUUCGGGAUUAAAAGUAAUUCAUAUACUAAUAGGCUUUUAUUUUUUUCUUUCAGCUAUGGCCAACACACUAUCCCUCUGUUCGCUAUUGGACAGCGAUAAGCUUAUCG